CCAGAUAUUAGUCAAUGCUCGCAAGAGUGAACUAGCUAACUGAAAUCACAGGAUCCAUUAAUAUGGUGAAUGUAAUAACGUAAGGGAAAAAAAUGAUAUUACUUUACUAUUAGUGUUGUCCAAAACUGGUGCCAGAAGACUCGGUAAGGCCAGAGACGCAAACGUUAGUCGUCCUAAUCAGGCGUAAAGGGUAUGUAGGCUGCUUUAAAAGUUUUAAUAUUAAUAGCUAUAUGUAAGUGGAAUUAAAAAAUACUUACUUAAAAAAAUAUAAGAUGAAUUAAAGCUAGGAUCAAAUUGAGGAUAAUUAAAAUAAUACUUAGUGUAGGGUUUAAAUCUGGUGAUACUAGGGGGAGUACUAACGGUGAAAGCUUUUAUCUAGAAAUGAUUGACGCUGAGAAACGAAGGUGAGAAUAGGAAAUAGGAUUAGAUACCCAGAUACCUCUCACAGUCAACGAUGAAUGGUGGUUGUUAGUUACUUAAAUUUAACUGAUAACGAUGUUAACACGAUAACCAUUCCGCCUUGCGAGUACGGUUGCAAAACUGAAACCAAAAAAAUUAGUCGGUCUCGAAGCAAACGAAGUGAAGCAUGUUAUUUAAUUCAUUAAUUCCGC
RNAcentral lists this ribosomal RNA (611 nucleotides) under Entoloma crassicystidiatum. Its description in RNAcentral is "partial small subunit ribosomal RNA". It matches the Rfam family "Bacterial small subunit ribosomal RNA", at positions 357 to 962 of the family's 1533-position model. The record is from RNAcentral. Lineage: Eukaryota; Fungi; Basidiomycota; Agaricomycetes; Agaricales; Entolomataceae.